CCUACGGGUGGCAGCAGUGAGGAAUAUUGGUCAAUGGGCGUGAGCCUGAACCAGCCAAGUCGCGUGAAGGAUGACUGCCCUACGGGUUGUAAACUUCUUUUAUAAAGGAAUAAAGGGAUGCACGUGUGCAUUUUUGCAUGUACUCUAUGAAUAAGCAUCGGCUAACUCCGUGCCAGCAGCCGCGGUAAUACGGAGGAUUCGAGCGUUAUCCGGAUUUAUUGGGUUUAAAGGGAGCGUAGAUGGGUUUUUAAGUCAGUUGUGAAAGUUUGCGGCUCAACCGUAAAAUUGCAAUUGAUACUGGCAGCCUUGAGUACAGUUGAGGUAGGCGGAAUUCGUGGUGUAGCGGUGAAAUGCUUAGAUAUCACGAAGAACUCCGAUUGCGAAGGCAGCUUACUAAACUGCCACUGACAUUGAUGCUCGAAAGUGUGGGUAUCAAACAGGAUUAGAUACCCGUGUAGUC
Molecule: ribosomal RNA, 460 nt
Filed under: uncultured bacterium
Lineage: Bacteria
Description: partial 16S ribosomal RNA
Rfam family: Bacterial small subunit ribosomal RNA
Source: RNAcentral